This 372-nucleotide ribosomal RNA is filed under the name uncultured organism. RNAcentral's name for it is "bacterial SSU rRNA". It matches the Rfam family "Bacterial small subunit ribosomal RNA", at positions 526 to 896 of the family's 1533-position model. The record is from RNAcentral.
CAGAGGGGGCAAGCGUUGUUCGGAAUUACUGGGCGUAAAGGGCGCGUAGGCGGCCUGCUAAGUCGAACGUGAAAUCCCUGGGCUCAACCCAGGAACUGCGUCCGAUACUGGUUGGCUUGAAUCCGGGAGAGGGACGUGGAAUUCCAGGUGUAGCGGUGAAAUGCGUAGAUAUCUGGAGGAACACCGGUGGCGAAGGCGACGUCCUGGACCGGCAUUGACGCUGAGGCGCGAAAGCCUGGGGAGCAAACGGGAUUAGAUACCCCGGUAGUCCUGGCCCUAAACGAUGAAUGCUUGGUGUGGCGGGUAUCGAUCCCUGCCGUGCCGAAGCUAACGCAUUAAGCAUUCCGCCUGGGGAGUACGGUCGCAAGGCUG